UUUGAUUUCGAUUUCCAAUCAUAAAUAUCUUGAUAAUCAGACAGGCGAUCAGCUUGUUAAAGUCACGGGGUUCCUGAUUGACCUGAAGGUUUAUAAUUACCAUUGCAGCAUGAUCUAGCUAAGUCCAGGAUUUUGUUUCAGAAUCUGAGGCAAAGUUACACAAUCCCUUUAUUACGGAGGACGCGUGAAGGUAAGAAAGUGCUCUGUGAUCUUUAAUGCAAAUUAUAUUUUCACAUUCCCUUAGUUUUUGGAAAUCAAAUAGCAGUAUCUUCUUGCCAGUUGAAAUAGUACAGCUAAUAAUAUAUCUACCCGAAAUUACGCCCUUAUAAACAAUGAAAAGUUUCAUACCUGAAAUAUAUAUUUUAAUGUAUGAUUUUACUUGAUGCAAGGAGCUGUGUAUUUCUUUCUGAUUGUAUGUAACAAUGCGAAAUCCAGCCCGAGGCAGUGAUGCAUCGUGUGCUAAAAAAAAAAUUAUUCAAUUGUAUUAAAUUACAAGAAAAAGGUUCUUGUCAUACACGCUCUUUACAUGAUUACAUGAUGUACAUGUGAAAGGAAUACGGUAUUUUCUUUCAAUUAAUCCGUUACUGGUAGGAAUGAAAUCCUUGACGCUAGAGCGCCGUAAUGGUAUCCAUGCUUAAAGCCGGGGUAAUAAUUGCAAAGCGCCAGGAGUGUCAAGUCUGACAGGCAUGAGUGCUAUGCAAGAACCCACUAUGUUAAUUAUUAUUAUCACUCAUAUUCCGCUACUGUACAUUGAGUAACUGAGAACCAAUUUUUUAACGAAUGUCUGAAGAAUUAUAGUCGAAAAUUCCUGAUAUGAAAUUCUUGGCGAUGUCAACACGUAAUUUGAAUGUCAUUGCACUAUUGAUCUGUGGCUACUGGUGAAGACACACACCUAGGCCCCGACGUUGCAUAAAACUUACCAUUGAUGGUAACUUUGCCAUCAAUGGCACGUACCAUAGUAACAGGGCUCAACAGCCAAUCAAAAUUAAGGGUUCCAUGGUAGUUAUACCAUUGAUGGCAAAUUUACCAACAAUGGUAAGUUUUGUGCAACGGGGUCCUGAUUUUUUUUAAAUACUGUUACGGCCCUCCAUCUUAGAACGGGUCCUGGAUGCAGGAGGGCUGGCCUGUCCCUUGCCUCUAUCACCGUCAUCUGACGAAGAAUUUGCCAUCUUGAAUAAUGCGAGCGGUUUCUAUUUGGCUUGUAGUUUAGAGGCCCGGACGUAGCUCCGUUUUCCCAAAGUAUAUGGGUGUGGAGAUGAGAGGUGUUUGGGAUAGGUGGAUGUGUAUUCCCUAUGAGAGGGUUAUAUUACGUCAGUCUAUGGAGACUCAACUAAUCGCACGUUAUGAAACGAUGGAUUGUUUAACUGUAUACUUUAAUAAUACAAACAUAAGUCAACAUCUCCAACACGUUAUCAUAGUUAACACCGACACCGAUUACCUGGAUUAAUCUCAACAAGUAGUAAAGGCAGAGAUUGCCUUUUGUAGGAACUCUAUUUCUCGCUUCCAAUCCUUUUUCCUUACUUUAGCUCAGCUGGAGCAAAGCGGAGAGUUCGCUAUCUGACCAAGACGAGAGCCAGCGUCAAGGUGACGAAAUUACCGUUAAAUACUGGUAUUUAUAGCCUCUGAGACGCUCUGAGAGCUGCCCUACGCAUGGUGCGUCCGUAAUCGCGCUCUGAGCCCUUACGCCCCAAAAGCUUACUGCGCCCACUACGUUUUCUGCAAGAUAACUUAAAUUGUGGCGAACUGGUUCGUUACAAUACUAUGAAUAUUGUUAGGUGAACAAAUAUAUAUGUUUGGGACGAAGGUUGAGGGAGGGCCUGCACAUGACUUGCUUAGCCGUACACUAGUAUUUUGUAAUAUGUAAUUUCAUUUGGCAACACAAGAGAAGAAGAACAAAAGGGGAAUAAAACAAAAUAAGAGGAAGGAAAAGAAAUGAAAAGAAUAGAAAAAAAAAGAAAA
This is a long non-coding RNA of Strongylocentrotus purpuratus (purple sea urchin), 1959 nucleotides long. RefSeq lists it as uncharacterized. The transcript is spliced from 2 exons. NCBI's taxonomy places the organism in Eukaryota, Metazoa, Echinodermata, Echinoidea, Camarodonta, Strongylocentrotidae. The record is from RefSeq and is a predicted model, not a curated record.